This 237-nucleotide ribosomal RNA is filed under the name uncultured bacterium. Its description in RNAcentral is "partial 16S ribosomal RNA". It matches the Rfam family "Bacterial small subunit ribosomal RNA", at positions 99 to 334 of the family's 1533-position model. The record is from RNAcentral.
CAGACGGGUGAGUAACACGUGAACAACCUACCCUCGAGUGGGGAAUAACUCCACGAAAGCGGGGCUAAUACCGCAUAACAUCCCAGAAUCGCAUGGUUUCGGGACCAAAGGCUUCGGUCGCUUGAGGAGGGGUUCGCGCCUGAUUAGCUUGUUGGUGAGGUAACGGCUCACCAAGGCUGCAAUCAGUAGCCGGCCUGAGAGGGUGAACGGCCACACUGGAACUGGGACACGGUCCAG